Molecule: unclassified non-coding RNA, 384 nt
Filed under: uncultured bacterium
Lineage: Bacteria
Description: contains 16S-23S intergenic spacer region
Source: RNAcentral
CGGUUUGUCACCGGCAGUCUCCCUAGAGUCCCCGGCAUUACCCGCUGGCAACUAAAAGCAGGGGUUGCGCUCGUUGCGGCACUUAACCCAACAUCUCACGGCACGAGCUGACGACAGCCAUGCAGCACCUGUGAAGGCUCCCGCCUUGCGGCGGGUCGGUCACCUUUCGGUUUCCUACCACCAACAUGUCAAGCCCUGGUAAGGUUCUUCGCUUAGCAUCGAAUUAAACCACACGCUCCACCGCUUGUGCGGGCCCCCGUCAAUUCCUUUGAGUUUUAGCCUUGCGGCCGUAGUCCCCAGGCGGGAUGCUUAACGCGUUAGCUUCGGCACUGGGGGGGUCGACACCCCCAACACCUAGUGCCCAUCGUUUACGGCGUGGACUAC